Molecule: long non-coding RNA, 2429 nt
Filed under: Olea europaea subsp. europaea
Lineage: Eukaryota; Viridiplantae; Streptophyta; Magnoliopsida; Lamiales; Oleaceae
Source: RNAcentral
UUAGAUUCUAUAUUCCAGAAAACUCCCAAAGAGAGAAACACUCCUCUUCCACGACUCCGCUCCUCCUCAAGCAUGAUUUUGCCGACACUGCUCCACCUUGUAACUCUACGAUUUUGGACGAAUUUAUGUUCCAUCUUUGUUUUGGUUUUUAAAAAUUUUUUUUUUCACUCUAAUAUAGUCAGAUUUAUGGUGAAAGGAGUUGAAUCUACUGUUCGAAAUUCAAAAUUGGACAAGGGAAAACAUUGGGCCAUGGAACAAUCUUCAAAUUAAUGCCAAGCCUUAUAAAUCGAAGGUAAACUUUGAGUCUUAGCAUAGCAGAUAGUAACUGUUGUGUUGAGUAACAAUUUCAUGUUAGGAAAAUGUAUAAAGCUCGUUCCACAUUGUCAAAAUAAUGCUUUCCCAACUAGGUUUCGUAGCUUUGCAUUCAAUCCAAAUUUUGUAACUUUGCAUUGUUAUGUUGAAGUUUCUGUUAUGCGUUGUGCCUUGAUUCUGGAUAAUUUAUGGAUCUUUACUGCAAAUUUCGAAGUAUUUUUUUUCCACUUUAAUAUGCAUAAAAAAGGCACUUAGUUCGCAUUUGGAAAACUUAAUUAGGCUAUAGAUUAAAUUGUAUAGAGGAUAAAAUUUGUCAAAUCCAGCUUUUGAUGUAAAUUGUAUAUGGAUUAUUAUCAGUCACUUGUACAGUUUCAGCCUAAAAAACAUAAAAUAAGAGGCGGGGUUCAAAAAAUUUCUAUUGUGGCUUUUUUUGAGUGAUUUUUGUAAAACAUGAUGAUCGUGUUUAUGGAUUCAACUCCUUAGCUAGUCACAUAUACAAGAUGCUAUGAAAAUUUAGCGGCCAAUUGUUCUGCAAAAUGAUCCAGUCACAUUCUUCUUACGCAAAGAAUAGCUGGGGAAAUAGAGGAAGAAGAACUACCGGACAGAAGCAGAAGAACAAAUCAGAGAAAGUGGAAGAAGAAGGAACCAAGUACCAACGGACUUAAUGGACUUUUGAAAGGAAACGGGGUUGUUUGGUAUUAAAUGAAACUGUGUCGUUUUAUUCCAAUAAUUGUUGUAUCAUAAAUUCCUUAUUUCAGCUGGAGUAAAUUCCAGUGAAGGUUUGUGUGAAGCUGUGUUUGCGAGUUGCAGUUCAGCUCGUGACAAAUGGUAUCAGAGUAGGCAUAUUAUACUGGGCAAACAAUAAUCAUGGAUACAAGGUCGAAUGCAGUUGAUGAACACUUGAAGAAAUUGGAUCUGGAGAUUUCUCAUCUGGGUAAUUCCUUUAAAGCUGUUAACAACAGGCUGAAGAACAAGUUGGCUUCCACUGAUCAAUCUCUCCAGGUUAGUGGGCAUAGACACGAAAAACUUGAAGCUACGCUGUUAGAUAUGAAUCAUAAAAAUGAAAAUUUAGUGGCCAUGUUGACCCAGUUAUCUUUAGAUAUCAAAAUGGGGCAGAAAAACAAAGGAGUGGAAGAAACUCUGGUCAAGGUGAAAUCUGAGGGUGUAAUAUAUAUCUUAGGAGCUAGUAACACUGAAAGUAGUAUUUAUACUAUAGGGGAUUUUAAGGGAAAUAAUAGGCUGCCUAAGUUUGAUUUUCCACACUUUGGGGGAGAAGAACCUAAGGAAUGGCUUAGAAAAGCUAGGGAGUAUUUCCAACUUCGUCAGAUCUCACGAGUUGAGAUUGGGUAUUGCUGAAAUGUAUUUGAAAGGUAAAGCAGAUUUGAAGAACCAACAGGGUUGCCAUCUCCUAGAUCUCAUGACUAUCAUAUUCUGUUAAAAGAGAUAGCAUAACCAUUCAAAAUUAGGACUUAUAAAUGCCUUUCUAUUCAGAAAAUAGAAAUAGGGAGGCUAGUGGUGGAGAUCGAAAAUACAAAUUAAGUCAACAGUUAAAGGAGAGCCUUUCACAGGCAAGUGCAAGGACGAAGCUUUAUGCUGAUAAAAAGAGACCAGAAAGGUCAUUUUUUGAAGGUGAUUGGGUAUUCCUUAAAACUCCAUCCAUACAGGCACCAGUCAGUGGAGCACAGGCAGAACUACAAGCUGGCGCAAGUUAUUUUGGUCUUCACCAGAUUAUCAAGGAAAUAGGGACAGUAGCAUAUCAGUUGGCACUACGUGAGGGUUCAAAAUUCCAUCCAAUUUUCUCUGUGUCGUUGUUGAAAAGGAAGUUAGAUGAUAAACAUAUGCCGGUACUAUAUGUGCCUAUUAAUAGUCCUUCCCAAUAGGUAGACCAUUAACCACACUCCAUCUUACAGUCAAGGAUGGUAGAGAGUCGGAUCCGCCCAACAAGGCGAUGGUUGAUUCAUUGGUCAGAUCUUCCUCCUGACAGUGCAACUUGGGAGAAUAUGGAAUGGGUUAAAGCUAAAUUUCCCAAUUGUAGAUCUUAGGGACAAGAUCAAAGUGAGAGGGAUGGUUGUUACGUGAAGAGUAGCUAGGGAAAUAGAGGAACAGGAACUACCAGA